GGAACGCGAUUUGACCUUGGACGUGCCCCGUGCAAGUGCACUGGCCUUAGGCGUGCUGAAGAACUUGAUUUGUCAGGACUCCCACGACCACGACCAUGGCUCCAACUGGUGGUGGUGGACGACCCCCUCUUGCUGAAAACACGCCUUCUGUCUCCAGCCUGGCACCGGGCAUUUUGGAGGCAUCCAGAGAAGGGCAUUCGCCAGCGAAAAAUAUCUUCUGGCUAUCUUCUCUUUUACACCUGGAGGGGAAGCCAAAGAACCAAAAACAGCGUUUGGCAGCUGCAGCAAGGGCGAGUGCUCUCCGACGAAGUUUCAUCAGAGGCGGGACUUUCCAAAGAAGGCGACAAAACGGCCUGUAGCGCCGUUGCCUCUGUGCCGGUGCAUGGAGAUGGCCGAGCCUGCCUCUGGGCAGCCGGCAGUGCUGAGACCGCAGAGGGUGCCAACGCCGGCCAACCUAUACCUGGCUGCUCUCCGCUAAUACGAUGUCGCGGAUUUUAUGCCUGGCCGACUCGCCCAGCUACGGCGGCACGCUGUCUCUUUGCGGCCCGCUGCGGCGGCUGCUGCGCGCCGCGGACGAUGCGCGCGCGGCUGCGGCGGCUGGCCGCCCGGUGGCUGCCGUUUGAACCCACGUGGUGCGCCGACUGGACAGGGGCUGGGACCGGCGGCUCACCGCUCUGCACAUGGCCGAACUGUGCACUGCCACCGACCGAGGGCUUGGUAACAUAUUGUUUCUGGAAUGUUCACGGGUUCCAUUCCUGCUCAAAGACUUAAUGAGUGCGCCGAAACUCGUCAGCAUCUUGGGAACUACACCGGAGUGCACCUGCUGCGGCUGCUGCUCGGACCGCCGUGCACUCUGAACGUCCGUAACCUGGUGUGGCACGGCUUUCUGGUGCUGGGGCUCGCUACGCGCCCUCUGCGGGGACGCCGUGCUCUGCCAGCUCUGCGACCUGCUCGUGUGGCCGGCCGGGCCGCGGCGGCGCAACCGGCUGGCGCACGGCGAGGUGGAGCCGGCGCGACUGCCGGCGCCGCUGGCGCACCAGCUGCUCUGGCUCACUGGUCAGCUGCUGGUCACCACCGCUGACUGGGCGGAGCGGCAGCCGGCGCCGGCCGGCGGCACAGCGCAGCACUCUGGGGACGGGGCCGAGCAGCACUAGACUAGCAGCGACUCGUGGAUAACUGGUCCGACCUGGAGCCAGCCGGCCAUCAGAGAGCUGGAGGCAGCUGAUGAUUGUGAAAUGAGUGAGUUGGACAGCUGUGCCACGCUGUCAGACUCCCGUCGACUGCGACGAGUGUGGGACUCGCACGGGUUGUGUCAGUGACCAAAGUGCUCUUUUUAUGUGUGGUGACCGGUCAGACUAUUUGACACAGACUAGCCAGAGUGUGUCACGAACUUCUGACAGUGAAUGCCAGUCAGUGCUUAGAUGUGGGGACGCGUCCAUCGAAUCGAGCGACGCUAAUGCACCGUGUGACAGUGUGCGUUUUCCGGGCGAGUUCGUUGCGCUGUGUGCCGGUCGUGCGCGGGACUGGUACCACCCGUCGUUCCACCAGUUCUCAGCGCUGCGGCGCGCCGUGCGCGAUCUCGGUGCCGCCGCCGAGGAGACUGUGCGCCGCGAGCUGCCGCCCGAGGACCUGCCGGCGCUGACCCGGCUGGAGCCGCUGGCUGACGGCGCGCUGUCGCUGCGUCCGCCGACCCUGCGCCGGCCGCGCCGGGAGGCCGAGCUGCUGACCCAGCUGCAGCAGCUGGUGGCGGCCCUGGACGGCGCCUGCCCCCUGGUAGCGGGUGGCAGCUGCGGGCGCCACGUGACGCCGUCUGCGCUCUCGGCAGCGCGCCACCUGGGGCCGCAUGCAGACCGCGUUGCCAGAGCUGCGUCGUCUGACGGCGGGUCUGCUGCGACUGGUGACGCACCAACUGGACGGUCUGGCCACCGCCGCGAGUCCGGAUUGAGACGGACACGGAGACAGUUCCGAACGGAGCCUCCCUCACCAGGAGAGCUUGACGCUGCUGCGAGCACUACAGGGCUACUGGCGGUACGUCACGUGCUGCUGGUUUUCUAGAGACGAAUGUUUGCUGAUAUUAGGCUGUUAAGACUGAGCCGUGAUGCUGUGGCCGGUGGGAGUGCCGGCGCCGUGGACCCGACGCCCAGCGCUUCGCUUCGCGCUGCUACCACACAGGUCUCUGAAUGGAGCUGCGUUCAGGUGGGCGGCUGGCUGCGCUGUCUCGGUCUGGCCCAGUACGCCGACGCGUUCGUCGCCCGCUCUGUGGAUGGCGCCCGGCUUCUGGGGCUCACCGAACAGGCUAUGGAAGACGAGCCCGACGUCGGUCUCGACGUGGCGACCUCGGAGCCAGCGUGUUGGGUAUCGGCUUCCCGCCACUCACCGGCGGACCUUUCCGCUUCGUGGACCGCAUCGGUCCCGCACAGCUAGUCAAGGACAUGGAGCGCUUCGCCGUCGUCAGUGGCGUCGGCUUCGAGCCGUGCCUGACCGUGCACUACCAGGCCGCUAGCGGCACCAAGUUCUGUUCGGCCGGUCCUCGUGUAAUGCCCACAUGUGAUGACCGAGAGUAUACGCAUGUGAAGCCGCUCCGCGCGUGUGCCAGCGCUGGGCGUGUUCAGUUUCAAAGUUAAUAUAUAACCCUGGUGAUCAA
Molecule: long non-coding RNA, 2644 nt
Organism: Amphibalanus amphitrite
Lineage: Eukaryota; Metazoa; Arthropoda; Thecostraca; Balanomorpha; Balanidae
Exons: 8
Source: RefSeq, a predicted model, not a curated record